AUGAUGAGGUCGUACUAUGAGAAGUACGAGGAAGCUAGAAGAACCACCGAGUACUCGGUAUCUCGGCAAGUCAGCGCCAAUAUAGGAUCACCAGUUCUUGGCAAAAGAAGGCUGGAAGAAGAGUUUGCUCAAUACAAGUCAAGAAGGAGGUCCUACAUGCAACCAAAGUAUGAGCUGGACAUGUAUUUGGAGGAAAAUUUCGACAGCUCCGGGGGAAGUUUUGAUAUUUUGAUAUGGUGGAAAACACAUGCUGAAAAAUAUCCCGUGCUCUCAACCGUGGCUCAUGAUUUCCUUGUAAUACCUCUUAGCACCGUGUCAUCUGAAUCAGCAUUCAAUUGCAGUGGAAGGACUUUAGGAGAUUUCCAAUGCUCGAUGAUGCCCGGAACUCUUGAGGCUUUAGUUUGCGGAAAAGAUUGGCUUAUCAAAAUUCCAAAUAAUGAAGGCCCAAGUGGGACAGCCUAA
Molecule: ribosomal RNA, 462 nt
Filed under: Triticum aestivum (bread wheat)
Lineage: Eukaryota; Viridiplantae; Streptophyta; Magnoliopsida; Poales; Poaceae
Description: partial small subunit ribosomal RNA
Source: RNAcentral